Molecule: ribosomal RNA, 492 nt
Filed under: uncultured bacterium
Lineage: Bacteria
Description: partial 16S ribosomal RNA
Rfam family: Bacterial small subunit ribosomal RNA
Source: RNAcentral
AGUGAACGCUGGCGGUAGGCCUAACACAUGCAAGUCGAACGGCAGCACAGUAAGAGCUUGCUCUUACGGGUGGCGAGUGGCGGACGGGUGAGGAAUACAUCGGAAUCUACUUUUUCGUGGGGGAUAACGUAGGGAAACUUACGCUAAUACCGCAUACGACCUACGGGUGAAAGCAGGGGAUCUUCGGACCUUGCGCGAUUGAAUGAGCCGAUGUCGGAUUAGCUAGUUGGCGGGGUAAAGGCCCACCAAGGCGACGAUCCGUAGCUGGUCUGAGAGGAUGCUCAGCCACACUGGAACUGAGACACGGUCCAGACUCCUACGGGAGGCAGCAGUGGGGAAUAUUGGACAAUGGGCGCAAGCCUGAUCCAGCCAUACCGCGUGGGUGAAGAAGGCCUUCGGGUUGUAAAGCCCUUUUGUUGGGAAAGAAAAGCAGCAGGUUAAUACCCCGCUGUUCUGACGGUACCCAAAGAAUAAGCACCGGCUAACUUCGUG